RNAcentral lists this ribosomal RNA (107 nucleotides) under Acanthosepion pharaonis. Lineage: Eukaryota; Metazoa; Mollusca; Cephalopoda; Sepiida; Sepiidae. The record is from RNAcentral.
CGACCAUAUAGCGUUGAAACACGGGUUCCCGUACGAUCACUGAAGUUAAACAACGUCGAGCCAGCUCAGUACCUAGAUGGGUGACCGCUUCGGAAUACCAGGCACGG